AGAAUCUCCAUGUAGUAGCCAUUAAAGUCACCAGGGUAUCUGCCGUUUUAUAUUCUGCAGCCAUCGGCCAUAAAAAGGAAACUUUUAGCACAUUUUGCAGCAAUCAAGGUGAAGUUCAGCGCUCAACUAUUUACCACAAAUACUAAAGUGUCUUGGUGCUUAAAUCAGAGACGCUGGAAACCUGAUGCAGAGUAAAUCAGCACCAACUAAUGAGGGAAAUUGCUGCAAUAUAAUGUAGCCAUGAAAACAAAGAGAUGCCUAACAGUUACAAGAAAGGCUAUGCCAAAUCUAGACAAAAUAUUAACACACAAACACAGGGGAUUGAGCAGGGGGUUGACUAAAAGACCUCCAAGGUCCCUUACAGCAUUAUUCUAUUUUAUUCUAUU
This is a non-coding RNA of Pseudonaja textilis, 386 nucleotides long. The record is from RefSeq and is a predicted model, not a curated record. Lineage: Eukaryota; Metazoa; Chordata; Lepidosauria; Squamata; Elapidae.